AUUGAACGCUGGCGGCAUGCUUUACACAUGCAAGUCGAACGGUAACAGGCCUUCGGGUGCUGACGAGUGGCGCACGGGUGAGUAAUGCAUCGGAACGUGCCCAGAGGUGGGGGAUAACGCAGCGAAAGCUGUGCUAAUACCGCAUGUGAUCUGAGGAUGAAAGCGGGGGACCAAGCAGCAAUGUUUGGCCUCGCGCCUCUGGAGCGGCCGAUGUCAGAUUAGGUAGUUGGUGGGGUAAAGGCCUACCAAGCCGACGAUCUGUAGCUGGUCUGAGAGGACGACCAGCCACACUGGGACUGAGACACGGCCCAGACUCCUACGGGAGGCAGCAGUGGGGAAUUUUGGACAAUGGGCGCAAGCCUGAUCCAGCAAUGCCGCGUGCGGGAAGAAGGCCUUCGGGUUGUAAACCGCUUUUGUACGGAACGAAAAGGCUCUGGCUAAUACCUGGGGCUGAUGACGGUACCGUAAGAAUAAGCACCGGCUAACUACGU
This 491-nucleotide ribosomal RNA is filed under the name uncultured bacterium. RNAcentral describes it as "partial 16S ribosomal RNA". It matches the Rfam family "Bacterial small subunit ribosomal RNA", at positions 30 to 506 of the family's 1533-position model. The record is from RNAcentral.